CGGUGCACUGAUCCGCGACCAGGCCAGCAUCGGUUUCGGCGGCCAGAURADCGGGGUGGGAACGUGGCUCCCUUCGGGGAGUGUUAUAGCCCACCUCASCAUGUGGUCAGYCGGGACCGARGACCGCGCUUCDGCUAGGAUGCUGGCGUAAUGGUUGUCABCGACCCGUCUUGAAACRCGGACCRVDGAGUUGACAAAUAACGCDAGUCUUUGGGUGKCAAACCCACABGCGCWAUGAAAGNGAACGGAGGUGGGAACCCUUUCSGKUGCRCCAUCGACCGAUCCUGAYGUCUUCGGAUGGAUUUGAGUACVAKCGUUAGUUGUCUGACCCGAAAGAUGGUGAACUAUGCKUGAAUAGGGUGAAGCCAGASGAAACUCUGGUGGAGGCUCGCAKCGGUUCUGACGUGCAAAUCRAUCGUCAAAUUUGCGUAUAGGGGCGAAAGACUAAUCGAACCAUCUAGUAGCUGGUUCCAGCCGAAGUUUHCCUCAGGAUAGYAGUAACGUUUUCAGUUUUAUGAGGUAAAGCGAAUGAUUAGAGCCUUGGGGAUGAACAUCCUUAACCUAUUCUCAACUUUAAUAUGUAAGAAGUCCUUGUUGCUUAAUUGAACGUGGACAUUUNAAUGCACCGUUACUAGUGAGCCAUUUUGGUAGCAGAHCUGGCGAUGCGGAUGAACGACGUGAGKUAAGUGCSGAAUUACGCUCAUCAACCCACGACCCUUGAGCACUA
This 727-nucleotide ribosomal RNA is filed under the name Trapelia placodioides. Its description in RNAcentral is "partial 28S large subunit ribosomal RNA". It matches the Rfam family "Eukaryotic large subunit ribosomal RNA", at positions 473 to 1233 of the family's 3401-position model. The record is from RNAcentral. Lineage: Eukaryota; Fungi; Ascomycota; Lecanoromycetes; Trapeliales; Trapeliaceae.